AACGAACGCUGGCGGCAUGCCUAACACAUGCAAGUCGAACGAGACCUUCGGGUCUAGUGGCGCCCGGCUGCGUAACGCGUGGUAACCUGCCCUUAGGUUCGGAAUAACUCCCCGAUAGGGGUGCUAAUACCGUAUAAUUUCUUCGUACCAAAGAUUUAUCGCCUUUGGAUGGGCCCGCGUUGGCUUAGCUCGUUGGUAGGGUAACAGCCUACCAUGGCGACGAUCCAUAGCUGGUGUGAGCGGAUGAUCAGACACACGGAGACUGAGACACGGCCCAGACUCAUACGAGAGGCAGGAGGGGAGAAUAGUGGAAAAGGGGAGAAAGCCUGAUACAGCAAUGGCGCGUGAGUUAAGAAGGCCUUAGGGUUGUAAAGCUCUUUUACCCGGGAAGAUAAUGACAGUACCGGGAGAAUAAGCACCGGCUAACUCCGU
This 432-nucleotide ribosomal RNA is filed under the name uncultured bacterium. Its description in RNAcentral is "partial 16S ribosomal RNA". It matches the Rfam family "Bacterial small subunit ribosomal RNA", at positions 29 to 506 of the family's 1533-position model. The record is from RNAcentral.